Molecule: long non-coding RNA, 1584 nt
Filed under: Helianthus annuus (common sunflower)
Lineage: Eukaryota; Viridiplantae; Streptophyta; Magnoliopsida; Asterales; Asteraceae
Description: hypothetical non coding rna
Source: RNAcentral
CCGCUAGAAUCAGAAAACGAGAGAGAAAGAGAUCGAAUGAGGAGGAUGGCGAUGGGGAUGUUUAUUGGCUCGGUUGAUCUUCUAUAUUGCACCAUAAGGUAACCUCUCGUUCCAAUUAUCCUACUUGUGUUUGUUUUGCGAGCUUUGUAUGGGGCUCUCUUUGGUUCAGUUUGCGAUGAUAAAACCGUGGAGGUGCACGGUGGUACGUGGUGUUUGGUCGUGGAGAAAGAGAAGGGUGGUGGAAUCACGGUGGUGAUGAUGGUUAUGAUUGUAGUUAUGAUGGUGAUGGUGGUUGUGUACGGUAGUGUCGGUUUCCGUGGUGGCCGGUAUGUGUUCGGUGGUCAGGAGAUGUAAUGAUGGUGACGGGUGGAUGAUGGUGGUGGCUUCUGCGAUGGUGAGCAACGGUGGGUGACGGUGGCAAGGGUGUCUUGGUUGCCAAGUGGCGGUUCGACUAUGGUGACCGACUACGACGACGGUGAAGGCGAAUGACGGUUGACAAUGGCGAUGGCAUUGGAUAAGGUGAAGGUGUUCGGCAGUGGUUUGGGUGAAGGUGAUUAGCAAUGACGGUGACUGUAAAUGACGACGAUGGCAUCAGUCAGUUUGGUGAUGACAACGACGGGAGUGGCGUGCGGUUAAUAUUUCGGGUUAUGUUCAUAGGUGGUUAAUGGAGAUUACUUAUAAGAGUUCAUGAAUAUGAUGUUGACACAAGAAUCUAGUAGCUGGUUCUUUGUUGAUUUUGGUGGAAUUGUGAUUAAGUUACGGAUCCAUGGUGGUUCUAAUGGAGUGUGCAAGUGAUAACAUGGGGGUUAGUGUUCUGAUUUUGAGGGUUCUGUAUAAAUGGUGGCUAUUCAUGGAAUACAAAAUGGGGUGGGAGGAGAAUUAUGAUUAGCAUGCAUGAAUUAAAAACAAUAGUUAAAUAAUCAUAAAUUACAUCGAGUACAUACAUGCACCAUGGUGCAUGGGCUGAUAGAAUUGGCAUGCAUGGGAAAUAGAGUUAUUAUACUGAAAUGGGUGUGAUUUGAGGAAAUUUAUUAUAAAUUUUGACGGCCGAAGCAUGAAAGAUCUAUUAGAAUUAAUUUUGCAUGGCAUGGCAUGGCACCACAUUUAAAAGAAAGCAUUGUGUUGAUGGGAUGAGUCCAACAUGUCAAGUUAAUGGUUGCUGAAGGUAUACUAAGAUUCGCGCCUUCAGUCGUUUCUCUAGCUCUCAACGGUUCGUGCGCUUUAUUGAUGCUUUUUUGAGGACACGGUUUAAGACGGUUAGUCUGCGGGUUUGGAAGCUUUGCAACCUAUGAAAUGUUUGUUCGCAGAUAUGUAGUUCGGGUCGGUAGCACUCUUGGCAAACGGAUGGCAUAACUCGUGACCUGGAAGGCAGGCAUUCGUGAUGUUUUAAUCAAAUAAUGGUUUUUAAUUUUCAAAGAAAUUGGUACUGUUUUAAUCAAAUUUCCGCUGCGACUUUUUGAAAGAAUUAUUAUAUUUGUAAAUAGUACCCUGUGAUGUGGCCCGACUGUAGGGUGCCCGGUUUGGGGGCCUUUCAUCUACCCUCAAUUUGGUUCCAUAGCCAUGCUAUUGCAAAAUCAUUAAAUU